CUCAUAAGACUUGUGAGCUAGUUAAUUUGUACCUGGUACAGAAGCCUAGACUGUUAGGAAACGAAGAGUUAAGCUUGUCUGAGCUACCCAACACAUAUUGAGAUUCAGUUCAAAUAUUGGGCAAGUACCACAGUGACUUGCCAGAGGGCAGAGUUGGUUCACUAACAUCUGGAUGACAGCUGGUCUUCAGAUCAGUGUCUGAAAACAGGGAGGGAGUUGGACUUCUUGAAGCCUAGAAAGAGAUGUCUGAGAAAUGUGUAAAAAUUGCUGGCAGUGCAGUUGACAAGGAUCCAGUGCUCAUGUACCUUUGUUGCUGUAAAAUGGAAUGGAUAUUUGCUUCCCCCUCUGGUGAGGUAGUGUGGCAGGUCAAGAGUCCCCUCCCUUUUUGGAUUCUAUAUAUACACUGCACCUGUCUCUGUGUUGCAAGAACACAGUGUUUUAUAAGCCUUUGUACAUCUUUGAGCUAAUUUUGCACCAUUAAGUAAGCAGAUAUGAGUUUCACUGGUUACUGGAUGGCAGCUGUUUGUAGAAUUCCUGGUGAAGAAGAUAGUAAGGUUUAAGAAAAAGUGGUGUGCUGGGACUCAGAAAUCUGGGAACUCAUCCAAAAUACAGUGGAAUGAGUCAGGACAAAAUCAUUACCACUCUUGGAAAAAGUGGCAUGAAAU
Molecule: long non-coding RNA, 665 nt
Filed under: Marmota monax (woodchuck)
Lineage: Eukaryota; Metazoa; Chordata; Mammalia; Rodentia; Sciuridae
Source: RNAcentral